RNAcentral lists this transfer RNA (79 nucleotides) under Burkholderia cepacia. RNAcentral's name for it is "tRNA-Ile2 (CAT) (tRNA-Ile2-CAT-1-1)". It matches the Rfam family "tRNA". From Rfam's summary of the family: Transfer RNA (tRNA) molecules are approximately 80 nucleotides in length. Their secondary structure includes four short double-helical elements and three loops (D, anti-codon, and T loops). Further hydrogen bonds mediate the characteristic L-shaped molecular structure. tRNAs have two regions of fundamental functional importance: the anti-codon, which is responsible for specific mRNA codon recognition, and the 3' end, to which the tRNAs corresponding amino acid is attached (by aminoacyl-tRNA synthetases). tRNAs cope with the degeneracy of the genetic code in two manners: having more than one tRNA (with a specific anti-codon) for a particular amino acid; and 'wobble' base-pairing, i.e. permitting non-standard base-pairing at the 3rd anti-codon position. RNAcentral also lists the same sequence under 134 other names. Lineage: Bacteria; Pseudomonadati; Pseudomonadota; Betaproteobacteria; Burkholderiales; Burkholderiaceae. The record is from RNAcentral.
GGGCCCCUAGCUCAUGCUUGGUUAGAGCAGCGAACUCAUAAUUCGUUGGUGCCGGGUUCGACUCCCGGGGGGCCCACCA